RNAcentral lists this ribosomal RNA (400 nucleotides) under uncultured bacterium. RNAcentral describes it as "bacterial SSU rRNA". It matches the Rfam family "Bacterial small subunit ribosomal RNA", at positions 355 to 772 of the family's 1533-position model. The record is from RNAcentral.
UGGGGAAUCUUGCGCAAUGGGCGAAAGCCUGACGCAGCCAUGCCGCGUGGAUGAUGAAGGUCUUAGGAUUGUAAAAUCCUUUCAGCGGGGACGAUAAUGACGGUACCCGCAGAAGAAGCCCCGGCUAACUUCGUGCCAGCAGCCGCGGUAAUACGAAGGGGGCUAGCGUUGCUCGGAAUUACUGGGCGUAAAGGGCGCGUAGGCGGACAGUUAAGUCGGGGGUGAAAGCCCGGGGCUCAACCUCGGAAUUGCCUUCGAUACUGGCUGUCUUGAGUGUGAGAGAGGUGUGUGGAACUCCGAGUGUAGAGGUGAAAUUCGUAGAUAUUCGGAAGAACACCAGUGGCGAAGGCGACACACUGGCUCACUACUGACGCUGAGGCGCGAAAGCGUGGGGAGCAAA